This is a microRNA precursor of Oryza sativa Japonica Group (Japanese rice), 206 nucleotides long. It matches the Rfam family "MIR812 microRNA precursor family". NCBI's taxonomy places the organism in Eukaryota, Viridiplantae, Streptophyta, Magnoliopsida, Poales, Poaceae. The record is from Rfam.
AAAAAGGUAAAUCCUAGAUUUUCGUGUCCAACUUCAACUGUCCGUCUUAUAUAAAAUUUUUUUAUAAUUUGUAUUUUUAUUGUUGUUAGAUAAUAAAACAUAAUUAAUAUUUUAUGCAUGACUUGUCUUUUUAAUUUUUUUUCAUAAAUUUUUUAAAUAAGACGGACGGUCAAACGUUAGACACGAAAACCACGGUUUGUCUUUUU